Molecule: transfer RNA, 72 nt
Organism: Clostridium tepidiprofundi DSM 19306
Lineage: Bacteria; Bacillati; Bacillota; Clostridia; Eubacteriales; Clostridiaceae
Rfam family: tRNA
About the family: Transfer RNA (tRNA) molecules are approximately 80 nucleotides in length. Their secondary structure includes four short double-helical elements and three loops (D, anti-codon, and T loops). Further hydrogen bonds mediate the characteristic L-shaped molecular structure. tRNAs have two regions of fundamental functional importance: the anti-codon, which is responsible for specific mRNA codon recognition, and the 3' end, to which the tRNAs corresponding amino acid is attached (by aminoacyl-tRNA synthetases). tRNAs cope with the degeneracy of the genetic code in two manners: having more than one tRNA (with a specific anti-codon) for a particular amino acid; and 'wobble' base-pairing, i.e. permitting non-standard base-pairing at the 3rd anti-codon position.
Source: Rfam
GGCUCCUUGGUCAAGCGGUUAAGACAUCGCCCUUUCACGGCGGUAACAGGGGUUCGAUUCCCCUAGGAGUCA